UACGGAAGGUCCGGGCGUUAUCCGGAUUUAUUGGGUUUAAAGGGAGCGUAGGCUGCCCGGCAAGCGUGCUGUGAAAUACAGUGGCCCAACCACUGGACUGCAGCGCGAACUGUCGGGCUUGAGGGCGCACGACGCAGGCGGAAUUUGUGGUGUAGCGGUGAAAUGCUUAGAUAUCACGAAGAACCCCGAUUGCGAAGGCAGCUUGCGGGAGCGCGACUGACGCUGAAGCUCGAAAGUGCGGGUAUCAAACAGG
This 253-nucleotide ribosomal RNA is filed under the name uncultured microorganism. Its description in RNAcentral is "partial small subunit ribosomal RNA". It matches the Rfam family "Bacterial small subunit ribosomal RNA", at positions 524 to 776 of the family's 1533-position model. The record is from RNAcentral.